RNAcentral lists this transfer RNA (74 nucleotides) under Luteibacter rhizovicinus. It matches the Rfam family "tRNA". From Rfam's summary of the family: Transfer RNA (tRNA) molecules are approximately 80 nucleotides in length. Their secondary structure includes four short double-helical elements and three loops (D, anti-codon, and T loops). Further hydrogen bonds mediate the characteristic L-shaped molecular structure. tRNAs have two regions of fundamental functional importance: the anti-codon, which is responsible for specific mRNA codon recognition, and the 3' end, to which the tRNAs corresponding amino acid is attached (by aminoacyl-tRNA synthetases). tRNAs cope with the degeneracy of the genetic code in two manners: having more than one tRNA (with a specific anti-codon) for a particular amino acid; and 'wobble' base-pairing, i.e. permitting non-standard base-pairing at the 3rd anti-codon position. RNAcentral also lists the same sequence under 7 other names. The record is from RNAcentral. Lineage: Bacteria; Pseudomonadati; Pseudomonadota; Gammaproteobacteria; Lysobacterales; Rhodanobacteraceae.
UGGGAGAUCGUCUAACGGUAGGACAACAGCCUCUGACGCUGUCUAUCUAGGUUCGAAUCCUAGUCUCCCAGCCA